AUUGAACGCUGGCGGAAUGCUUUACACAUGCAAGUCGAGCGGCAGCACGGGGGCAACCCUGGUGGCGAGCGGCGAACGGGUGAGUAAUACAUCGGAACAUGCCCAGUCGUGGGGGAUAACACUUCGAAAGAAGUGCUAAUACCGCAUACGUCCUGAGGGAGAAAGCGGGGGAUCGCAAGACCUCGCGCGAUUGGAGUGGCCGAUGUCAGAUUAGCUAGUUGGUGGGGUAAAGGCCUACCAAGGCAACGAUCUGUAGCUGGUCUGAGAGGAUGAUCAGCCACACUGGGACUGAGACACGGCCCAGACUCCUACGGGAGGCAGCAGUGGGGAAUUUUGGACAAUGGGGGCAACCCUGAUCCAGCCAUUCCGCGUGAGUGAAGAAGGCCUUCGGGUUGUAAAGCUCUUUCGGCAGGAACGAAACGACGAGCUCUAACAUAGCUUGCUAAUGACGGUACCUGAAGAAGAAGCACCGGCUAACUACGUG
RNAcentral lists this ribosomal RNA (484 nucleotides) under uncultured bacterium. RNAcentral's name for it is "partial 16S ribosomal RNA". It matches the Rfam family "Bacterial small subunit ribosomal RNA", at positions 30 to 507 of the family's 1533-position model. The record is from RNAcentral.